GGGGAAUUUUCCGCAAUGGGCGAAGGCCUGACGGAGCAAUGCCGCGUGGAGGAUGACAGCCCAUGGGUCGUAAACUCCUUUUCUUAGAGAAGAAAUUUUGACGGUAUCUGAGGAAUAAGCAUCGGCUAACUCCGUGCCAGCAGCCGCGGUAAUACGGAGGAUGCAAGCGUUGUCCGGAAUCAUUGGGCGUAAAGGGUCCUGAGGUGGUUUGCUCAGUCCACUGUGAAAGUUCAGGGCUUACCCUUGAAAAUGCGGUGGAAACUAGUAGGCUAGAGUACGGUGGGGGCAGAGGGAAUUCCCGAUGUAGCGGUGAAAUGCAUAGAUAUCGGGAAGAACACCGACGGCGAAGGCACUCUGCUGGGCCGACACUGACACUGAAAGACGAAAGCCAGGGGAGCGAAUGGGAUUAGAUACCCCAGUAGUC
Molecule: ribosomal RNA, 424 nt
Filed under: uncultured cyanobacterium
Lineage: Bacteria; Bacillati; Cyanobacteriota
Description: bacterial SSU rRNA
Rfam family: Bacterial small subunit ribosomal RNA
Source: RNAcentral